CUUGUCCUCAUUUGUAAUUCGCUUUGGAUAAAAGCGUCUGCUAAAUGACUAAAU
Danio rerio (zebrafish) is the source of this 54-nucleotide non-coding RNA. NCBI's taxonomy places the organism in Eukaryota, Metazoa, Chordata, Actinopteri, Cypriniformes, Danionidae. The record is from Rfam.